RNAcentral lists this ribosomal RNA (821 nucleotides) under Tegolophus celtis. RNAcentral's name for it is "partial 18S ribosomal RNA". It matches the Rfam family "Eukaryotic small subunit ribosomal RNA", at positions 389 to 920 of the family's 1831-position model. Lineage: Eukaryota; Metazoa; Arthropoda; Arachnida; Trombidiformes; Eriophyidae. The record is from RNAcentral.
ACAAGCCUGAGAAACGGCUAGUAGGACUAAGGUCUGCAGCAGGCGCGAAACUUACACAAUGCUAGAUUACGAAAUGACAUAGCGAUGUAGUGAAGAAAAAUAACGAUGUACUUACAUUUAAACAUGUUAGUACAAUUGGAAUGAGACGACUCUAAACCAGUCAGUCGAGUAACAAAUGGAGGGCAAGUCUGGUGCCAGCAGCCGCGGUAAUUCCAGCUCCAUUAGCAUACAUUAAAGUUGUUGCGGUUAAAAAGCUCGUAGUUGAAUUUUGGACGGGCUCUAUUGGGGUGCAACCGUUAAGGUUUAUAUUAAGUUGGUUCGCCCAUUUUUUAUCAAACUGGUUGUAUUUCCCCUAUAGGAACCCGUUGUUUCGUCACUUAAUCGAGUGCGAAGCGGGCCGGUACUAUCGAAAACCUCCGGGUUUUCAAGUAACGGCAUGUUUACCUUGAGAAAAUUAGAGUGCUCACAGCAGGCAGUUGGGGUGUAAAAGCUCCUUUAUGCUUGAAUAAUGUUGCAUGGAAUAAUAGAAUACGGCCUCGGUUCUAUUCUGUUGGUCUUAUAGAACAACAAAAAAGUUGAUUAAAGCGAUCAAAAGUCCUUUUUGAGUGUGGCUUUGUGAUAUUUAAGUAAAUCAAAUCAUUCUGGUAUUGUUGUCUGGGGCCUUAAAAUCUCAGUACCUUGCUAGUUUUGAAUCUUGGUCCUCAAAUUCACCUAGUCAUUUAAAGCACUCUUAAUGUGGCUAGCUUUCUAAUCAACUGAGGCAAUGGUUAAAAGAAAUAGUCGCGGCGGCAUCAGUACUGCAUCGUGAGAGGUGAAAUUCU